UCCGUAGGGUGCGAGCGUUAAUCGGAAUUACUGGGCGUAAAGCGUGCGCAGUCGGUUCGUUAUGUCCGAUGUGAAAGCCCCGAGCUUAACUUGGGAAUGGCAUUGGAAACUGGCGGGCUGGAGUGCGGCAGAGGGGGGUGGAAUUCCACGUGUAGCAGUGAAAUGCGUAGAGAUGUGGAGGAACACCGAUGGCGAAGGCAGCCCCCUGGGCCGACACUGACGCUCAGGCACGAAAGCGUGGGGAGCAAACAGG
This 253-nucleotide ribosomal RNA is filed under the name uncultured bacterium. RNAcentral's name for it is "partial 16S ribosomal RNA". It matches the Rfam family "Bacterial small subunit ribosomal RNA", at positions 524 to 776 of the family's 1533-position model. The record is from RNAcentral.